CCGUGCUUAUACUGAUAUGCGUCAGGAAGCCUGUCUUCCCACAUGCCAACUUGUACAUGUACAGCGAGCUAGAAGUAGUUUCGUGUGUGCCUGGAGAAUCACAGAAAUUUUAACCGAAACAACGUUUGACACGGGUCCUGAAAGAUGAAGAAGUUCGAAGAGAUCUUGGUGUACACAGGUGGUGGUAUCCAAGGCAUGGAGCGUGGGAUGGGACAGGACAGGAUCAGAAAGAUGCUCACAGCAUGGAGCCAUUUAAGUGUUCCACUGCAGAAGCAAGCAUGGAAGAAGCAGUGAAGUUGUAACUGGAGGAGACAAAGCCAUGCGAUGCGAGCUUUGAGAGGGGCUGCAGUGAAGCAACCAACACCAGUGAACUGUUGUGCGCUCGAGGUUACUGAAGCAUGCAAAGCAUGGACUGGAUGCAAACCUUCAAGAGCAAACCUUCAAGAGCUACUUAACAAGCAUGCCGUUGAUCAACUGAACUUCUCUGAACCUCAGGUGGACAUCAUAAACUACAGAUUAAUCUUCCAUUCCUGAUGUCACUACCUGAUGUCAAUGUGUUGGCAUUUUUCAUGACUGGAUGGACUCGUCUCUUGGAAAUUGGCAUUUGGAGGACCAAAAAAUGCAUAGUGAUAAAUACUGCCCCAGUAAAGACAGAGAAUGUCAACUAAUGUUUGACGCCAAAUCACAUUGUGCUGAUUGUAGUUUUUUGUAAUAUUUUCAAACCAUUCGUUAAAGAAUUCGUUUUAAAAACAAAACACUUUGACCUUCUUGAGUUAACUGGGUUAUUUAUGACAACUGCCGUUAGGUUGCUCAGUUGUAUUAAAACCAGGCACAUACAUGUAGUAUACCAAACCCAAAAUCAAGCCUCAUUGGAAUUAGUUUGAAACGUCAGCUUAGCUGUGUAGUUCACUUAUAUAAAAACAUAUUUAGUCACAGCUCCAAUUGUUUUUAAAAACAUUAAUGUGGAAAUUGUACUCAGGCUAUACGUAGACAUGCAAAGUACAUGUAUUUCAUUCUUAUUGUCAUUUAUAACUCACAGUAAAGUCCAUCAGUGAGUGCUGUUGUCAACCAUUAGUGGAAAAAGUCAACAGUUCUUGGUAUCCUGCUUCGUGACAGUUUGCGAAGACUGUACAUGUGUUAUCAUUAACCUAGUUUCACUUGUGCAAAAUGCAAGAUAUAUGUCAUGAAGCUUUUUGAGCAACUAAUUAUGUACUGCAGUAGUUUGAUAGAAAAAGUAUUGUGGUCCUUCUGUUUAAGGUUUGUUCUUUUUGUAAUACAAUCCACAGAAAUAGUCCUUUUUACAAAGUUCAGUGCUUUCUCACUUGUUACAUGUACUUUAUCAUUGUAUUUUAACACUGCCAUUUGAUCUACUGACUGAGGUGUUUGCGAGUAUGUGCCUGGUUUCAUCGUAUUAAUUUGAUGUAAAUAAGCUAAGAAAUCCUUUCUGUUCACUUUUUUAUGUCAAGAUUUACUUAAAUUCAUAUUUCAAAUCGUUCACAUAUAAUGCACACUAGUACAUCAUAUGAUCAUAUGUAUUAUCUUUGAAUUGCUCCUCUAAGAAAGAAAGUGUUGAAUUUGUUUCAUGUUUGUAUUGAGAUGUGCAAAUCUGCACCCAAAACACAUAUUUAUGCCAAAGCUUUUAUGUAUGUAUCAUUUGAUGUGCUAGUGUCCAUGUGCUCGUUUUGAUGUAAUUGCUUUGAUAAAUAAAAAGGGUUUUUGCUGUUUUGUUCUUAUUUUAAACAUCUGCUGUCUAUUUCAGGGUUUCGCAGUUGGGGAGGCUUUUGAAAAAAGGAUUUGCAAACAACUUAUGACACUGCAUACAUUCUAUUACUUUUUUUAUGGACAAGCUUUAUGAAAAAGGCAAGUUAUUUAACAAUUGGCCUGAAGUGGACAAUAAGCAGUCAAUGGUGCACCUCAGAAAACGUGAAAUAGACAGCAGAUGCACUGAUCUUUUGGGAAUAGUGUAUUUUUAGAACACACACACACACUGCACCUUCCAAUUCACCACCAUUGGAACACCCUUGGUGGUUGAAGAAAUUGCUCUUUAAUGCUGCCUCCAAUAGAGGGCGCUCUUACUGAACAUAUAUCCAGAGGCGUGCAAUAAAAAAAGCAAGACUAAGAAAAUACCUUUGUGUUUUCAGUUUAUUUUGUCUGUGCAUGUCAACCUAUAUGAACCUUGGUCUCACCCUUGACUUGACCUUUGAACUUUGACCCAACCUUCCAACUUUGACCCGACCUUCGAACUUUGACCUGACCUCCGAACUUUGACCCGACCUUUGAACUUUGACCUUUCAACUGGCC
Molecule: long non-coding RNA, 2301 nt
Filed under: Acanthaster planci (crown-of-thorns starfish)
Lineage: Eukaryota; Metazoa; Echinodermata; Asteroidea; Valvatida; Acanthasteridae
Description: uncharacterized LOC110979800
Source: RNAcentral